GACGAACGCUGGCGGCGUGCUUAACACAUGCAAGUCGAACGGCAGCACGGGGGCAACCCUGGUGGCGAGUGGCGAACGGGUGAGUAAUAUAUCGGAACGUGCCCUAGAGUGGGGGAUAACGUAGCGAAAGUUAACGCUAAUACCGCAUACGAUCUACGGAUGAAAGUGGGGAGUUCGCAAGAACCUCAUGCUCAUGGAGCGGCCGAUAUCUGAUUAGCUAGUUGGUAGGGUAAAAGCCUACCAAGGCAUCGAUCAGUAGCUGGUCUGAGAGGACGGACCAGCCACACUGGAACUGAGACACGGUCCAGACUCCUACGGGAGCAGCAGUGGGGAAUUUUGGACAAUGGGGGCAACCCUGAUCCAGCAAUGCCGCGU
This 375-nucleotide ribosomal RNA is filed under the name uncultured bacterium. Its description in RNAcentral is "bacterial SSU rRNA". It matches the Rfam family "Bacterial small subunit ribosomal RNA", at positions 28 to 402 of the family's 1533-position model. The record is from RNAcentral.